CCUACGGGAGGCAGCAGUGAGGAAUAUUGGUCAAUGGACGAGAGUCUGAACCAGCCAAGUAGCGUGAAGGAUGACUGCCCUAUGGGUUGUAAACUUCUUUUAUAUGGGAAUAAAAUGUUCCACGUGUGGGAUUUUGUAUGUACCAUAUGAAUAAGGAUCGGCUAAAUCCGUUCCAGCAGCCGCGGUAAUACGGAGGAUCCGAGCGUUAUCCGGAUUUAUUGGGUUUAAAGGGAGCGUAGGUGGAUUUUUAAGUCAGUUGUGAAAGUUUGCGGCUCAACCGUAAAAUUGCAGUUGAAACUGGCAGUCUUGAGUACAGUAGAGGUGGGCGGAAUUCGUGGUGUAGCGGUGAAAUGCUUAGAUAUCACGAAGAACUCCGAUUGCGAAGGCAGUUCACUGGACUGCAACUGACACUGAGGCUCGAAAGUGUGGGUAUCAAACAGGAUUAGAUACCCGAGUAGUC
This 460-nucleotide ribosomal RNA is filed under the name uncultured bacterium. RNAcentral describes it as "partial 16S ribosomal RNA". It matches the Rfam family "Bacterial small subunit ribosomal RNA", at positions 338 to 795 of the family's 1533-position model. The record is from RNAcentral.